GUCUCAGCAGCCCUGCACCAGCGAUUACAGACUGGGAUUAGGAAUUCCAUCCCUGGCCCAAAACGUUUUCUACACUAGUUCUACUCCACCAAGUUUUGCAACAUCCGAAACCCUAGCAGAAAUGGGCCACCAGCUGCUGCAGGCUGUUAAUACUGAGUCACUGCCCUUAUCAAAGCAGAUCUAAUCUCCAGAGUGCACAAAAUACCAGCAGCCUGUCUACACUAGAGCUCCCAGCGUGCUUCACACCAGGAUGAGCAACAAGGGACGAUUCCUUCCUUCCCUCCCUCCUGUAAGCAGGACCCCGGAGAGCCCAGCAAUUUGAGUUUAUUACAAACGCUAUUGCUCAGAUUGGGAAACAGGCACAGAGGCAUUAAAGGCCAACAUUUUCUGUCUAAAGUUAGGUUUCAGAGUAGCAGCCGUGUUAAUCUGUAUCCGCAAAAAGAAAAGGAGGACUUGUGGCACCUUAGAGACUAACCAAUUUAUUUGAGCAUAAGCUUUCGUGAGCUACAGCUCACUUCAUCGGAUGCAUUCAGUGGAAAAUGCAGUGGGGAGAUUUAUAUACACAGAGAACAUGAAACAAUGGGUGUUACCAUACACACUGUAAGGAGAGUGAUCAGCCCCAGGAGCUGCAGGACUCUGGAGCUGGCAGCCAGCAGGGCCCUGGCAGGGUUCCAACGACAGGCGACAGCAGAGACAGGAGGCCCCCUGCAAGGUUCCAGCAACGGGCGACACCUCGGGUGAGCACCUGGGGGUGUCCCAUUUUCUCCUGCAGAUCCCAGCCACGGGGGGGGGCAGAGGGGGAACCCCGCAGCUCAGAAACCAUGGAGCCACAAUGGCAAAAGUCACACACAGGUCACGGCUUCUGUGAAUUUUUGUUUAUUGCCUGUGACCUGUGUGUGACUUUUACUAAAAAUAACCGUGACAAAAUCUUAGCCUUAAUUAACAAUCCUCCAAGGGGUCCUCGAGUAAAUAACAGAAGUCAAGUCCUGUGAUUUCUAAUGCAAAACAACAAAAUCCAAGAACAAAUCCCUAUAUUAAUAACAAAACUCUUUUGUUUUGAUUUAUAAUCAUGCAGAACACAAAAAAGAUACUGGCACGUUUUCCUUUGUCAAUCAUCUUUAAGGUUAAUUAAUCCAUUCAAAUUCCCUAGCUAGAGCAAUGUCCAUCAAAUCUCUGGUGAAGGUCUGACUACCUGUUGGACCUAACUAUGAGUCCAAAGAUGCAAGGGUCAAGAUGGCUAAAGACCUUACCAUGGUUUCAGAAUCUAAUAAAUUUAUUUGAGCAUAAGCUUUCGUGAGCUACAGCUCACUAGUCUCUAAGGUGCCACAAGUCCUCCUUUUUUUUGCGGAUACAGACUAACACGGCUGCUACUCUGAAACCUGUCAGAAUUUAAUGUAACUAUUAACGCCCCUCGGAGAGCUCAUGGGCAGUUACCUUACAGUUCAGCCCAGAAUUCUGCACGGACAACUGGCAACCAGCGCAAGGGGCUGAGAGCCCUGUGUGUGGGUAACACCUUGCAGACUUCAGAGACAGAAGAUGGACACAUCUGGGGCACAGUUGUUUCCACAUCCACAUAGCUUUGAUCUGCUUCCAGGUUUGUGUCAAGGUGAAGCCAAAUCUGGGACGCAGCUGCUUCCACGUCCAGCUGAGCUUGAGCCUUCAGGAAAGUCCUGCUGUGAGCAGGGGGUUGGACUAGAUGACCUCCUGAGGUCCCUUCCAACCCUGAUAUUCUAUGACUCUAUGAAAGAAGCCCCUGAUGCAGCUGGCAGUUUAGUGUUCUGCAAACACAUACAAGUCACGGCAACCCUUUGGAGAACACCCUUCCUCCCAAGGGAUCCCAAAGCACUUCACAAACAUGGAAAUAUAAACGCCUCUGGGAUACAAGAUGGCAACCAGCCAGCUCACUGCACAGCCACAGGGGAAGGGAAAGGUUGACGACACUGAGGCAGAGUUUAUAGGUUCUUAGUCCAGGACUAGGAGCCAGCAGCUCCUGGGGCACCUGGUCCUAAUCCUGGCUCUGAAAUCAUCUCUUACUGCAGCCAUGGGCAGUCACUGCUCAUCUGGCAAAUGGGAAUAAUGUUACUGACCCACCACCCAGGGGAUUAGUUUGAUUGCGCUAGUGCCCUAAUUUAGCUAGGUGGUGUACAAUCCCUGUCCUGAAGAGCUUAUGUUCUAAAGGUUAUUGUCAAUCAAAAUACUAUAGCCCCAGCUAAUAAUGGAUAUGCUGUGUAUCUGUGUGGAGGAUAUGUCCCUUAAACGAAUGCAAGCUAGGAAAGGCUGAGUUAAGGUUGUAUGGAUCUGAUCUCACUUUCAAUUACUUCAGUUGGCUUUGGAUCAGGCCCCAAAUGAACUUGGCAUGCGGGUAUAUUCUCUAGGGGUCAGGACUCCUGGGUUCUAUUCCUGAUCCUUCCACUUACUCCUUGUAUUAUUCUCUGAUUCCUUCGCUGUAAAAUGGAGACGAUGCUUUCCGAGUUCUCCAGGAGGAUGGGAAGUUGAAAUGUGUGAAAAGCACACAGAUCUUUGGAUGGAAGGUGCUAAAAACAAGGGGAGUACCACCUUUUCCUGGAACACCUGCAUCGGCUCAAUACACAGUGUGUCAGGCUGGACUCAUUUGCUGCUGAAGUCCUGCUGUGUCUGGUUUUUGUGGGUUUGUUUCAGGCUCUGGACAUUUAGUUAAUGCAGAGCUCUGUGGCUGAAUGCUGAAGAAUGCUUUACCUUCAGUGAAUACGUCUGGAGACCAGCCUUACCAGAAUCAAUAGCAAACCUGCAGUGCCCCGGCUGUAAGUGAAAUGAGCUUUGAUGUGUGACUAGAAUUGGAAUCUUUGUUCCGCUCUAAUGACAUCUGACAGCAUUUAGGCCAACUGAAGCCAUCUCCGGAUUCUCUAGGAACACUCUGAUGGGGGGCUGGGUUUGUUUGAUUAGGUCCGUGCACAGCACAGGUAUUUCAAGCCUGUGUGGCUAGUAAGUUAGGCUCCCUUACCUUCCCUUAGGGCACAAUCCUGCUGCUAUUGCAUUCACUGGCAAAACUCCAGUUCACUCUCAUGGGUGUAUGAUUGGGCCCUAGUAGAGCAGCGUUUGCUCCUCCCUCCCCCAUCAUAAGUUAUGCAUGUUCUAAUUUGCAGUGGAGCUGGGAUGUUCCAAACCACAUUAUUUCAAUAGCAGCUAGAGCCUCACUGCAGGUUAGAGUUUACCACAAUUGAAUUGGAGGAUCUGGCUGAGACAGCCAAGGUCAAGGCAAGGUUGCCCCCAGAAUUGAGUAAGUGGCAGCUUUGGAUUUUUGUUGGGAGGUUUUUGUGUUCUUUUUUUCUCUCUUAUCUACUCCUGUCCAUGCCCUCAACUGAAACAUCAGACACUGGGGCUCAGUAGAGUUUGGUUAAUUAAUUGCUUGGUGCAGAGUUGGAAGUUAGCUAGAGAAACCAUGCAAAAAGCUAGUUACAACCCAGGUACCUUUAAAAAUAAAAUUUAAAAGAGUGUAAUCAACUUGCAGGAAACCGUGGGAAACAAGCUAUCUGGGAUGACAAUUGGAUGCUGUUUUAUUUAACAUGGACAAAUGUACUGCGAACCAAGUAAUGUAAAGAAUUUCAUGCCUGUUAUUUCCUGUUACAGUGUCUGGAACACCAUUUAUCAUUACUGUAAUUUGAAAUUAAUAAAACAGAUCCAUUCUGUCCUGUCUGGAAGGGGGACAGGAAAGUGUA
Caretta caretta (loggerhead turtle) is the source of this 3695-nucleotide long non-coding RNA. RefSeq lists it as uncharacterized. The record is from RefSeq and is a predicted model, not a curated record. NCBI's taxonomy places the organism in Eukaryota, Metazoa, Chordata, Testudines, Cheloniidae.